UAAUCACUUGUCUUUUAAAUGAAGACCUGUAUGAAUGGCAUAACGAGGGUUUAACUGUCUCCUACCCCCAGUCAAUGAAAUUGAUCUGCCCGUGCAGAAGCGGACAUAAAAACAUAAGACGAGAAGACCCUAUGGAGCUUUAGGCUAAAGAUCACGCAUGUUAAGAAACUUCAACAAACAAAAAGUUACACAAACCAAAUGUAAAUUGAUCCUAAUGCCUUCGGUUGGGGCGACCACGGGGAAAAAAGAAACCCCCACAUGGAAUGGAAACAUCUCCCUAAACUUAGAGAAACCCCUCCAAGUAACAGAACAUCUGACCAAAAAUGACCCAGGGCCAAAAACACCCUGAUCAAUGAACCAAGUUACCCUAGGGAUAACAGCGCAAUCCUUUCCCAGAGCCCA
Molecule: ribosomal RNA, 402 nt
Filed under: Rhynchoconger ectenurus
Lineage: Eukaryota; Metazoa; Chordata; Actinopteri; Anguilliformes; Congridae
Description: partial 16S ribosomal RNA
Rfam family: Bacterial large subunit ribosomal RNA
Source: RNAcentral